RNAcentral lists this ribosomal RNA (373 nucleotides) under uncultured Bacteroidales bacterium. RNAcentral's name for it is "bacterial SSU rRNA". It matches the Rfam family "Bacterial small subunit ribosomal RNA", at positions 42 to 414 of the family's 1533-position model. Lineage: Bacteria; Pseudomonadati; Bacteroidota; Bacteroidia; Bacteroidales. The record is from RNAcentral.
ACAGGCUUAACACAUGCAAGUCGAGGGGUAGCAGGGUAGCAAUACCGCUGACGACCGGCGCACGGGUGAGUAACACGUAUCCAACCUUCCCAUAACUCGGGGAUAGCCUUUCGAAAGAAAGAUUAAUACCCGAUAGUACUUUAUUAAGGCAUCUUAAGAAAGUUAAAGAUUUAUUGGUUAUGGAUGGGGAUGCGUUCCAUUAGAUAGUUGGUGAGGUAACGGCUCACCAAGUCUUCGAUGGAUAGGGGUUCUGAGGGGAAGGUCCCCCACAUUGGUACUGAGACACGGACCAAACUCCUACGGGAGGCAGCAGUGAGGAAUAUUGGUCAAUGGGCGAGAGCCUGAACCAGCCAAGUAGCGUGAAGGAUGACGG